UGAGAAGGCACAGCUUGCACGUGA
Molecule: microRNA, 24 nt
Filed under: Homo sapiens (human)
Lineage: Eukaryota; Metazoa; Chordata; Mammalia; Primates; Hominidae
Description: hsa-miR-6770-5p
Source: miRBase by way of RNAcentral